RNAcentral lists this Y RNA (121 nucleotides) under Propithecus coquereli (Coquerel's sifaka). RNAcentral's name for it is "Y RNA (ENSPCOG00000006896.1)". It matches the Rfam family "Y RNA". From Rfam's summary of the family: Y RNAs are components of the Ro ribonucleoprotein particle (Ro RNP), in association with Ro60 and La proteins. The Y RNAs and Ro60 and La proteins are well conserved, but the function of the Ro RNP is not known. The record is from Rfam by way of RNAcentral. Lineage: Eukaryota; Metazoa; Chordata; Mammalia; Primates; Indriidae.
AGCUGGUUUGAAGGUAGUGAGUUAAAUCAGUUGAUUGUUCACAGUCAACACAGUCAAUUACAGAUCAAUUUCCUUGUUCUACUCUUUCCCCCUUCUUACUACUGCACUUGACUAAUCCUAA